UCUGACGGAGCACGCCGCGUGAGCGAUGAAGGCCUUCGGGUCGUAAAGCUCUGUUGUUAGGGAAGAACAAGUAUCGGAGUAACUGCCGGUACCUUGACGGUACCUAACCAGAAAGCCACGGCUAACUACGUGCCAGCAGCCGCGGUAAUACGUAGGUGGCAAGCGUUGUCCGGAAUUAUUGGGCGUAAAGCGCGCGCAGGUGGUUCCUUAAGUCUGAUGUGAAAGCCCACGGCUCAACCGUGGAGGGUCAUUGGAAACUGGGGAACUUGAGUGCAGAAGAGGAAAGUGGAAUUCCACGUGUAGCGGUGAAAUGCGUAGAGAUGUGGAGGAACACCAGUGGCGAAGGCGACUUUCUGGUCUGUAACUGACACUGAGGCGCGAAAGCGUGGGGAGCGAACAGGAUUAGAUACCCUGGUAGUCCACGCCGUAAACGAUGAGUGCUAAGUGUUAGAGGGUUUCCGCCCUUUAGUGCUGCAGCAAACGCAUUAAGCACUCCGCCUGGG
Molecule: ribosomal RNA, 503 nt
Filed under: Mesobacillus jeotgali
Lineage: Bacteria; Bacillati; Bacillota; Bacilli; Caryophanales; Bacillaceae
Description: bacterial SSU rRNA
Rfam family: Bacterial small subunit ribosomal RNA
Source: RNAcentral